Molecule: ribosomal RNA, 164 nt
Filed under: Phlebia radiata
Lineage: Eukaryota; Fungi; Basidiomycota; Agaricomycetes; Polyporales; Meruliaceae
Description: 5.8S rRNA
Rfam family: 5.8S ribosomal RNA
About the family: 5.8S ribosomal RNA (5.8S rRNA) is a component of the large subunit of the eukaryotic ribosome.
Source: RNAcentral
UACAACUUUCAGCAACGGAUCUCUUGGCUCUCGCAUCGAUGAAGAACGCAGCGAAAUGCGAUAAGUAAUGUGAAUUGCAGAAUUCAGUGAAUCAUCGAAUCUUUGAACGCACCUUGCGCUCCUUGGUAUUCCGAGGAGCAUGCCUGUUUGAGUGUCAUGGUAUC